GGCAUGCGGGACAUUAGCUAGUCGGCGGGGUAACGGCCCACCGAGGCGACGAUGCGUAGGGGUUCUGAGAGGAAGGCCCCCCACACUGGUACUGAGACACGGACCAGACUCCUACGGGAGGCAGCAGUGAGGAAUAUUGGUCAAUGGGCGCGAGCCUGAACCAGCCAAGUCGCGUGAGGGAGGACGGCCCUACGGGUUGUAAACCUCUUUUGCCGGGGAGCAACGGGCGCCACGUGUGGCGUCACUGAGAGUACCCGGAGAAAAAGCAUCGGCUAACUCCGUGCCAGCAGCCGCGGUAAUACGGAGGAUGCGAGCGUUAUCCGGAUUUAUUGGGUUUAAAGGGUGCGUAGGCGGAUCGUUAAGUCAGUGGUCAAAUUGAGGGGCUCAACCCCUUCUCGCCAUUGAAACUGGCGCUCUUGAGUGGAAGAGAAGUAUGCGGAAUGCGUGGUGUAGCGGUGAAAUGCAUAGAUAUCACGCAGAACCCCGAUUGCGAAGGCAGCAUGCCGGCUUCCGACUGACGCUGAAGCACGAAAGCGUGGGGAUCGAACAGGAUUAGAUACCCUGGUAGUCCACGCGGUAAACGAUGAGCGCUAGGUGUCCGGGGGGAAUGGCCCCUGG
RNAcentral lists this ribosomal RNA (618 nucleotides) under uncultured bacterium. RNAcentral's name for it is "bacterial SSU rRNA". It matches the Rfam family "Bacterial small subunit ribosomal RNA", at positions 228 to 842 of the family's 1533-position model. The record is from RNAcentral.